Molecule: long non-coding RNA, 1323 nt
Organism: Cydia splendana
Lineage: Eukaryota; Metazoa; Arthropoda; Insecta; Lepidoptera; Tortricidae
Exons: 2
Source: RefSeq, a predicted model, not a curated record
UUAUGAGCCUAUAAGGUGUCCCACUGCUGGGCAAAGGCCUCCCCCCUAGACUUCCAAUCCUCCCAAUUAAGUGCAGCAUCUGUCCAGUUGCUGAGAAAUGUGUCCAGGUCGUCUCGCCAUCUCCUCUUAGGCCGACCUUCCCGGCGUUUACAUUGUGUCACCCACUCCGUGGCUAGUUUAGCCCACCUCUGUGGGUGCAUACGUCAUACAUGGCCUGCCCAGUCCCACUUUAGCCUGGCGGUUUUUACCCCAACGUCGACGAUGCCUGUUUUGGUGCGCAACGUAGUGUUUCGGAUCCGGUCAAUCCUUUUCACCCCAAGCAUGUUGCGCUCCAUAGCUCUUUGGCAAACCUUCAGUUUGGUCUUUUGUAACUCGGUAAGAGACCACGUUUGAGCACCGUAAGUGAGGAUUGGCAAUAUACACAUGUCGACGAGUCUACGCUUAAGAGCUAAUGGAAGGUCUCCCUUCAGUAGCUCCUUAAGAGACCAAUAGCUCUUCCAAGCGUUUUGGAUCUGUCUUUCGACCUCUUUGUCCUGUCUUUGGUUGAAAGCGACUAUUUGCCCUAAGUACGUAUACUCGUCGACAUAGUGUAGGAUCUGCCCGUCUACCUCAAUGUCACGUUUGGUGCUGUUGGUCAUAAGCUGAGUCUUAGACCGGUUUAUUUUUAAGCCAACUUGAAGGCUUGCCGAGCUAAGAUCUUGUAGCAUCUUUUCAAGGUCCGCAGCUGAAUAGGCCAAGAGAACGAUGUCGUCAGCAAAGCGAAGAUUUGUUAAUCUUCUCCCACCAAUACCCUUGGAUUCCCAUGACGCCGCCAGGCCUUGAAAUAUCUGCUGAAUGGUGCUGGUGAAAAAUUUGGGAGAUAGCGGGUCUCCCUGUUUGACCCCCUUUUCUAUUUUGAACAACUAACCGGAUGCCUGCAAUUUUAUGUUCGCGGUACUACUUCUAUAUAUGGCCUUGAUUAGGUCGAUAUAUGUUGGCUCUAUAUUUUGGUCUUGGAGUGCGGAAAAUAUGGAGGAAUGUGUCAAACUGUCGAAUGCUUUUUCAUAAUCUACAAAACCUAUGUAAAGCUGCAUGUUAAAUUCGUUAUCUUUUUCUAUUAUUUGGUUGAUUGUUUGGAGGUGAUCGGUGGUUGAAAAGCUGGGCCUGAAUCCUGCUUGCUCCGGAGGUUGGUGUUUAUCUAAUUGACCCGCAAUGCGACACUCUAUAAGUUUAAUAAAGACUUUGUAUAUAUGGGACACUAGGCUAAUGGGACGAUAAUUUCCAAUAUUUUUCUUGUCUCCUUUUUUAUAAAGCAGAAUUAUAUUCGAGUGUGGCAUGUCUUUU